This is an RNA transcript of Vollenhovia emeryi, 2085 nucleotides long. RefSeq lists it as uncharacterized. The record is from RefSeq and is a predicted model, not a curated record. Lineage: Eukaryota; Metazoa; Arthropoda; Insecta; Hymenoptera; Formicidae. The transcript has 4 exons.
UUUUCGCACAAACUGGACCAAUACAAACAGGGUACAUGUGUAUGCACCUUAAGUGUCGAUACGUGUGCGGAUCAUAUCACAUUUGUUUUGGGUAGCGUGGAAUAAACAUACUUUGUUUUGAUUUCAGUCUACCUCAAAGUCUUCAUGUUAUACACAGAAUUUUUCUGCGAUUUCUAAAUUUUUAAAAUGGCACCAAACAAUAAGAAGGUGAAAAGAAAACGCGUGGAGUUGAGUGUGGCGCAGAAAUUAAAGCUAAUCGAGAAGUUGGAACAAGGCGUGAUCUCAGUGACGGAUGUUUGUAACAUGUAUGGCAUGCACCGAAAUACUGUCUCGAAUAUCAGGAAAUCAAAGCCCAAAUUACAAAAGUUUUUUUUAACACACAAUAUUGAUAGCUCUAACUUUCAUGCUUCUACAGUAGGGAAUAAAAGACUCAUUGAUUUUGGGCCAUAUACAAAUUUAGAUACAGCUCUGUAUAAGUGGUAUAGUCAACAAAGAUCUAGUGGUAUUAAUGUACAACAGCACCAGUUGAGAUCGGAGUUUAGUGCUCUUGUAACACGUAUGGGAGUCAGUAUGAAACAUACUUAUCAGUGGCUGCACGAGUUUAAAAUGAGACAUGGCAUUAUGGUAUCUUUGCGCGAUGCACCCUGUAGUGAACCUUCAGAGUCAGAAAAGAAAAACAGUACCGAAGACAAAGUUAUUCCAGAAGAACUUAUAAAAGUUGAGAAUUUGCCUUCUCCGUCAUCUUCGCCUCCAACUACUUCUACUCAUCGCAACAUUUCUAAAUUAAAUGCUUCAACAAUAAGGAAUAAAAAACGCUUGCAACAUUCGAAAAACGCAAAUUUAGAUAAAGCUCUGUAUAAGUGGUAUAAUCAACAAAGAUCCAGUGGUAUUAAUGUACAACAGCUCCAGUUGAGAUCGGAGUUUAAUGCUCUUCUAACACGUAUGGGACUCAAUAUCAAGGAUACUACUCAGUGGCUGUAUCGUUUUAAAAAGAGACAUGGCAUUAUGGAUUCUUUGCGCGAGACACCCUGUAGUGAACCUUCAGAUGCAGAAAAGAAAAACAAUACCGAAGACAAAGUUAUUCCAGAAGAACCUAUAAAAGGAUUUUCGAACAAACUGGACCAAUACAAACAGGGUACAUGUGUAUGCACCUUAAGUGUCGAUACGUGUGCGGAUCAUAUCACAUUUGUUUUGGGUAGCGUGGAAUAAACAUACUUUGUUUUGAUUUCAGUCUACCUCAAAGUCUUCAUCUUGUACACAGAAUUUUUCUGCGAUUUCUAAAUUUUUAAAAUGGCACCAAACAAUAACAAGGUGAAGAGAAAACGCGUGUUCUUGAGUGUGGCGCAGAAAUUAAAGCUAAUCGAGAAGUUGGAACAAGGCGCCUCAGUUACGGAUGUUUGUAACAUGUAUGGCAUACACCCAAAUACUGUCUCGAAAAUCAGGAAAUCAAAGUCCAAAUUACAAAAUUUUUUUUUAACACACAAUAGUGAUAGCUCUAAAUUACAUGCUUCUACAGUAGGGAAUAAAAGACGCAUGGAAUUUAGGCCAUAUACAAAUUUAGAUAAAGCUCUGUAUAAGUGGUAUAGUCAACAAAGAGCCAGUGGUAUUAAUGUACAACAGCACCAGUUGAGAUCGGAGUUUAGUGCUCUUGUUACACGUAUGACAGGCCUGGGCAAUUUUCACUGCCCGCGGGCGCCCGUUUGCCCGCGGGCAAUAGCUGUGCGUGUCGGGCAAGAGUGGGGAGACAGUUUCGGCAAGAGUGGGGAGACAGUUUCGUAAGUGGGAAAGAACGUCGCGCUUUAGAAGUAUAGUUCCGAAUAUGAUUGAGACGUGGUGGGGCGAUGAUUGGAGUGGGGGCAUGCCCGCGGGCAUGCCCGCGGGCGCCCGCGGGCGCCCGUUGCCCGCGGGCAGCAUUUUGCCCACCCCUGACGUAUGAGACUCAGUAUCAAGCGUCCUGCGGGCUGGCUGUACAAGUUUAAGAAGAGACAUGGCAUUAUGGAUUCUUUGCGCGAGGCACCCUGUAGUGAACCUUCAGAGUCAGAAAAGAAAGAUAGUACCGAAGACAAAGUUAUUCCAGAAGAACCU